CUUCUGGUACUCUCAGUGCAUACCGUAGCGCGUACUUUAUUCUUCUGUAACUGUAUCUUCAGUUGCUUGUUCGAGACAAGAAUCCUAGCUUUACAAUCAUGCUCACUACUCUUGGCUCGGGAAGGACAAUUCCCUCUCUCACUCAUAGACGCCAAUAACAGAACUAGCAGACAAUGCAGGAACAGGCCAUUCUCGUCGACA
RNAcentral lists this long non-coding RNA (201 nucleotides) under Musa acuminata (dwarf banana). Its description in RNAcentral is "long non-coding RNA (MACU_LNC011035)". The record is from RNAcentral. Lineage: Eukaryota; Viridiplantae; Streptophyta; Magnoliopsida; Zingiberales; Musaceae.